Molecule: ribosomal RNA, 420 nt
Filed under: Baetis cyrneus
Lineage: Eukaryota; Metazoa; Arthropoda; Insecta; Ephemeroptera; Baetidae
Description: partial 16S ribosomal RNA
Rfam family: Bacterial large subunit ribosomal RNA
Source: RNAcentral
CGCCCGUAGCACCUAUUGCGGGUACCGCCUGCCCACUGAUUUUUAACGGCCGCAGUAUCUUGACUGUGCAAAGGUAGCAUAAUCACUUGUCCCCUAAUUAGGGGCUGGAAUGAAUGGAUUGACGUGGUGGGAGCUGUCUCAGCAAUUACUUGAAACUUAAUCUUUAAGUUAAAAAGCUUAAAUUUUAUCGCAGGACGAGAAGACCCCAUAGAUCUUUAUAUAGAAAACUCCACACCCCCUUGACGUUAAACCCGGGGAGCUUCAAUAUAUUUAGUUGGGGUGACGCGAAGUCAUAAACACUUCUUACUGGCACAAUAAUUUUAGGUUUAAUGACCCGGCUAGCCGAUCAAAAAAUCAAGUUACCUUGGGGAUAACAGCGUAAUCUGUCCUAAGAGUCCUUAUCAAACGACAGGUUUGCGA